This 454-nucleotide ribosomal RNA is filed under the name uncultured bacterium. RNAcentral's name for it is "bacterial SSU rRNA". It matches the Rfam family "Bacterial small subunit ribosomal RNA", at positions 30 to 476 of the family's 1533-position model. The record is from RNAcentral.
AGCGAACGCUAGCGGCGGGCCUAACACAUGCAAGUCGAACGGCAGCACGGGCUUCGGCCUGGUGGCGAGUGGCGAACGGGUGAGUAAUGCAUCGGAACGUGCCCAUGUUGUGGGGGGAUAACUACGCGAAAGCGUGGCUAAUACCGCAUACGCCUUGAGGGGGGAAAGCGGGGGGAUUCUUCGGAACCUCGCGCAAUUGGAGCGGCCGAUGUCAGAUUAGCUUGUUGGUGAGGUAAAGGCUCACCAAGGCGACGAUCUGUAGCGGGUCUGGGAGGAUGAUCCGCCACACUGGGACUGAGACACGGCCCAGACUCCUACGGGAGGCAGCAGUGGGAAUUUGGACAAUGGGCGAAAGCCUGAUCCAGCCAUGCCGCGUGUCUGAAGAAGGCCUUCGGGUGUAAGGACUUUGUCUAGGGAGCAAACUUACUAGGUUAAUACCGGUGAGGCUGAGAGU